GAUGAACGCUAGCUACAGGCUUAACACAUGCAAGUCGAGGGGAAACGGCAUCGAAAGCUUGCUUUUGAUGGGCGUCGACCGGCGCACGGGUGAGUAACGCGUAUCCAACCUGCCCAUCACUUGGGAAUAACCUUGCGAAAGUAAGACUAAUGCCCAAUGACAUCCCACGAAGGCAUCCGAAUGGGAUUAAAGAUUUAUCGGUGAUGGAUGGGGAUGCGUCUGAUUAGCUUGUUGGCGGGGUGACGGCCCACCAAGGCAACGAUCAGUAGGGGUUCUGAGAGGAAGGUCCCCCACAUUGGAACUGAGACACGGUCCAAACUCCUACGGGAGGCAGCAGUGAGGAAUAUUGGUCAAUGGGCGAGAGCCUGAACCAGCCAAGUAGCGUGCAGGAUGACGGCCCUAUGGGUUGUAAACUGCUUUUAUAAGGGAAUAAAGUGGGUCACGUGUGACUUUUUGCACGUACCUUAUGAAUAAGGACCGGCUAAUUCCGUG
This 492-nucleotide ribosomal RNA is filed under the name uncultured bacterium. RNAcentral describes it as "partial 16S ribosomal RNA". It matches the Rfam family "Bacterial small subunit ribosomal RNA", at positions 28 to 507 of the family's 1533-position model. The record is from RNAcentral.